RNAcentral lists this long non-coding RNA (12848 nucleotides) under Marmota monax (woodchuck). Lineage: Eukaryota; Metazoa; Chordata; Mammalia; Rodentia; Sciuridae. The record is from RNAcentral.
GUAUAUUUAUGUGUGUAUGUGUGUGUAUAUGUAUGAGUGUAUGUGUGUAUAUGUAUAUGAAUAUGUAUGUGUGUGAAUGUAUGUGUAUGUAUGUGUGUACACAUUUAUGCCUGUAUGUAUGUAUAUGUGUGUAUGUGUAUAUGUAUGUGCAUAUGUAUGGAUGUGAAUGCAUGUGUCUAUAUGUGUAUAUGUUUAUAUGCAUAUGUGUAUAUGUGUGAAUGUAUGGAUGUGAAUGUAUGUGUCUAUGUGUGUAUAUGUUUAUAUGCAUGUGUGUAUAUAUGUGUAUGUAUUUGUGUGUGUAUGUGUAUAUAUGUGUGUGAGUGUACAUUUAUAUAUGUGUGUACAUGUUUUUUUGUAUGUGUAUGUAUGUGUAUGAGUGUAUAUGUGUGUAUGUGUAUAUGUAUGCAUUUGUAUGUAUGUGUGUAUGUAUGUAUGUGUCUACGUGUGUAUAAGUACGUGUAUAAGUGAGUGUGUUUGUGUGUGCAUUUGUCUUUGAACAAAGGCCCUCUCUGCUUUUUUGCAACCCUACCCUAAGCAUAGUCAGUCACUUGGAUGUCCAAAUGGAUGUCCACAAAUACUGAGAAUGCAUCCAGGCUCUGCCGCUCACUGGACAACUCAACAAAGACAACUAAUUAAUCGUGGCUGAUGACCUGAACUUGAGAGAAAAGGAGCAGAUGACUUGGGCCUUGGUGAGAGGAAAAUCAGAGGACCUUGGGCUUUGGUGGGUGAGGGGCAGAGGACCUGGGGCCUUGGUGGGUGAGGGGCAGAGGAUCUGGGGCCUGGGCUGUUGGCGAACAGGACUCUGACCUUCCGUGCUGCAUACGGCUUGCCUCCAGCCUCACCUCUGAAUCUCGCUGGAAGCCCCUGGGACCUCCUAAACCUGUGUCUCCCAGGGCAUUUAGGGUUUUUUUUUUAAAUAAUUUUUUAAUAUUUAUUUUUUUAGUUGUAGUUAGACACAUUACAUUUGUUUUAUUUAUACCGUUGAGCCACAACUCCAGCCCUGGCAUUUAGUUUUCAAGACCUCCUUCCUUGGCCUUCCUUGACUCUUGGCUGAGAACAAAGGUUUCAGAGUGUUCCUGACUGUCUUUGAAAACACGUCUUCAUGGUUAGAUUUGGAUCCUGGAGCGCACAGGCCACAUCCUCAGGGCUGCUUUGUCCCCGUGGCAUGGCAUUCAGAGGCGCAUGGCUGGUGACCUUCACUGCCAUCACCAAUGUCAUUAGUGGUUAGCAGGGUCUGAGGUUCUUCCACAGUAAACAUGCUCUUUUAUUAACAUGUGGCCUGAAAUAAAAGAUGUGUGUCUGCCACCUAAGUCCAGGCUCCUCCUGGACUGUGAGCAACGGCUUCACCAGCCCUCAACAGAUCAUUCCCAGUGGAAACAGGAUUCUGUGGAAAUUUCUAUGUAAACAACUAUGUUGUUUUUAAGUAAAUAUUUGAAUUGGUCAAUCAAUAUGUACUCAGUUCUAAUCCCAAUCUUUUACAUCUGCCCCCUGAUCUGCUUCUGGCCAGAACCUUGAGUUCUGGGUGGAGUGAAAUGGGUGGGAGCAGGAUGGCCCAUUCUGGAUCCUGGAGAAGGACUCUGCUGCCGCAGCACUUUCACGAGUGGCCUUCAUCAGAGGAAGGUCCUUGCCACCCCUGCUUUCCCGAGUACUUCCUCAUUGUAAGCACCUUCUCCAGAGACGGUGGUGUUCCCUGCUGUGUUCAGCUAGUGAGUGUGGCUGGCCACUGUAGACCGACUCUGCGGUCUUGGAACGGAACUCACCUAGUACUAGUUUGAUUUCCAGUUUGUGUGUUUCUUGAUUCAAUCGCCCCUGGCCUCUGAGGGACCUGUGCUCCUGUGAUCACGAGGACUGUGGACCUGACGUCCUUUUCUCUGUGAUAAACAUCCUUGUUCAUCGUUCACAUCAGGGUCGGUGGCCUUGUGAAGUGGGCUGUGAGCUGUGCCUUGCUUCUCCACUUCAUGAGCUGUUUCCACAGAAUGCUCUACUUCUCCACGAAUGUCAUGACAUCCUUCAGGGAGUGGUCUAGGCUACAUUGUUCUCUGGGGGAAGAAUUUUGAAAACAAGAUCGAUUUCUACUUCAGUUAUCUGUUAUUGCAUAAUAAAGCCACAAAAAUCCAGUGACUUAGAGCUAGCUUGUUGGGUCCCUGCAGGGCUGCAUUCUCCUGGAGGAGGCCUUGCUCCAAGUCUGCUCGUGCUGGUGAAGCCCUGAACACUCUCUCCAAGUGACGCAGGGUGGAGGGUGUCAGGAUGCCGGGGCCCAGGAUCACACACCGUCAUCAAAAGACCAACAGGAACAAAGCAGCAGGAGGAAAAGCUCAUUUGGCUCACAGGUUUCAGUCCAGAAUCGGCCAACGCCAUCGCUCUGGGCCUGCAGUGAGGCCGGUGUCAUGGUGGAAGGGUGUGGACGAGCGGAGCUGCUCGAGACAUGACGGCCAGGAAGCAGAGAGCUCAGCUCACCAGGGACAAGAGAGAGACCCCAAAGUCGCGUCCAGGGACCCCCUCCUCCAGCCAUGCCCCACUGGCCUACAGUUACUACUCAGUUAACCCCUUCAAGUGGAUUGAUGCACUGACUAGGUUAAGGAUCUCGUGACCCCAUCACUCCACCGCUGAACAUCGUCUCACAGAGGAGGUUUGGGGGCACCUCUUCUAAACCACGACAAGUGAUAAACUACUUUCAAACCCUGCCUGCAAGUUUUGCUUCAUUUUAAGUAAAAAAUAUGGGCACUGUGGUCCAGCAACUCUGUUUUGAAUAUUUACCCACAAGAAAUGAAAAGAUACGUAAAGACAAUAAUUUGCACUUCUUAACCUUAUUUAUAAUAGUCAGAGACUGGAAAGAAUUCAGAAGAAUACCAAGGGGAAAUGGACAUCCGGGGCAUGUUCAUACUCAGGGAACCAUUCAGUCGAAGUGAAGAAACGGCUGUGAGACCUGCAAAGCCCUGGAUAGAGCUCAAGAGUAUGUUGAGCCAACACAACUCGCCAGAAAGUGUGUGUGCUCUGCACUGACAGGAAAUCUAGGCCGGGACUGUCAGGCUGCAGCUCAGGAGGCAGGCAAGGCCCCAAGAGGUGGAAAUGAGGGGUUUCAGGUAUAUUGGAGAGAUUCUGUGUUUUGUUGGAGAUGCUGGUUUUCCCCUUACCUAAUUCUCCACCUAAGACUGAUGCCUUUCAGAGUGAAUGAAUGCGGCUUCAACUGAGACCCUGUGAGCUGGGCACCCUGACCCUGGGCUUGGCGUCCUGAUCUCAAGUCUCCCCAGCUCAUAGCGCCCCCCGCUGGCUCCUCAGGGAGACCAAUGCUGUGUGAGGGUCCAGGUGACAGGGUCCAGUGGGGCACAAGUUCUCCCUCUCAAGGUGUCUGCUGCACCUUUCCAGAGCCAGACGGUCGGUCUCCACCGGCAACAGCAAUCCACAGUGCAGGGGUGUAUUCUACUGCCUGUGGAGCAGAGGGCCCGGCUUUCGAAUUGGGAGAGCCUACCUCCUGCACUAGCUGGUUGAUGUUGCAGAAGACACGUCGACACUCCAAGGUAGGAUGGAGCACGGCCUUACAGCUCUGUUAGGCACGGAGCACAACUUGCACAGCACAGCUCUGGUCCCCAGCGUCUGAAGGGCUGAGGAUCCUACAGGACAGUUUGCCAGUCCCAGACAGUAGAUGAUGUAGUAGCAGCAUUUACCAGGAGCAACAGGAGACCUGCAAAGCCAGGAGGAUGUCCCUUUGGCCACGACUCUGCAGGCUGAACAAAAGCAGAGCCAGCUGCUGAUGCAGAACCCACCAGUCCUGUUCAGUUCUCCUCUGCUUCUCAGAAUCUCCUGCUGAGGCAGGCCUCCCGGCUCUCCCAGGCUCUGCCACACACUUCCCAGUGCAUCUGGUGCUUCUGCUCAGCAUGUCUCCAGAGCGAUGGCACAGCUAAGUUUAUCAAACACACUGUUCCCAAUUGCUUGGAAUUCGUACUGCAGCAAAUUCUAACACUCACGGAGAAAGAAAGCCACGGAUUCCAAGUGAUUUUUUUAUUUUUUGGAAGAUGUUUAAAACAACAUUAGCAGAAACAAUGAUAUUAGCAACACAUGAGAAAGCAAAUUGAAGUGCUCACAGAAGACAAUGGGGUGAUUAGCCUCUCUCUGGGUGUCAGUGUGCUGGCGAAGGAACAGAGAAUGCAGCCAGAUGGACUCACUGAGAGCAAAACUGUAGGCUCAUCCAGCAAGAGUGCAGAGCCAGCACCACACAGACCUGUGCUGGGGCUCAGCCGGCUCUGUGGUGUUCAUCUGACAGCCCUCUAUGCCAAGUCCAGCCGUGUGGAUGGAGCACACGGGCACCAUUGCUGUGGGGAGGCCUGAUUCCACCGUAGGCUCCUGACUCGGCCUCCCACUGUCCCAGCUCUGCACUCCACAGGGCUCAGAGAUCUCGAUCCACUCCCUUCUCACACCUGCCAGAUUAUCUAGGUAGUCAGGAGGGAGAGAAACAAGAGGGAAGAGCUGAGAAAUAAAACCUAGGCUCACAUUAUUGAACAUAAUCUACUGAGAAGAUUUUCUCAGAAAAACAACAAUGAAAAUUUUUAUCCAUAGAAAAUAUCCAGAAAUGCAGUCAGAAUUUUCAGAUUUACAAUUUCUCCAUUUAGGGGAUGGUGUGUAGUCCUGCUCUUUCUUACUCCCCUCUCUGGGCCAUACCCUACCUUGGAGCCUCAAGACUGUGUACCUGGACUCCAGCUCGUCCACCCACCAACCUUGGGCACAACCACACCGGCACAUUGCCCAGAAUCCACUGCCCACACAUGCAGGGUCAAGGCCUGGGGUCUCACAGAGUGCCUGUCUCCUUCAGGACCCACCCUUCACUUUUCUCUCUGGUGCUGCUGACUCUUCACUCUCCCACCACCACUUCACUGUCACCAACGUUUGCUUCCCCAGCACAUGGGAAGGUUCUGGCAACCAGGAACCAAGAUUUGUUAUGAUCUUCUGAAGGCCUGGCAUAGUGUUUUCUGUAUCUUACUUGAGGAGUUAAAAAAAAAAAAUCUUAACUAUUAAUUACUACUUUGCAAACAAAGGAACAUUGUUUACCUCUUAGAUUUUCUGACUAUGCAUCUAUAAAAAUGGGAGUAUCAAUACCAACUCAGAUGACCUGCGGUGAGGACCGACUGUGACCAUAUGUGCCAAAUAUUUAGGGGGCACUUGACCCAGUGUGCUCAGAAAGUGGCAUUCUGCAGCAGGCCUGCCCUGAGUGGUGAGGUGCAAUGAGGACCUCUCCAGGUAGGCUGCACAGACCAUGCCUUCCCCCUGGCCUGUGGUUCAUGCACAGCGGCCCUCUGUGACAGCUUCUGGAUGCUGGGACAGCUCCCACCAGCAGAGGACAGUUCUACAGAGAUUCACUUUUCUCUUGCACAACUUGCAAGAGUCUAGGAUUACCCGAUGGCCCCUCUGGGAUUUACUGGGACAAUGAACUUUCCCAGAGACAUCAAAUAGCAUCUGGAUAAUUUUAGGAAAAUGUUUGAUGGGAAAAUUUGGGUUUGUUCUCGUGAAAAGCAUGUUGGGCUUCCGGGUUCUCAGAAUCGCCAUAGAAUGCCCUUCUUUUCUCCAGCUGUAUUACCCAGGGCCUGGAUGCCUUGCCAGUGUAGAUCAAUUUAUCAUGGAUGUGGACUGUGGUACAUGAAGUCCACUGUGGACGUGGACCCUGGCACACAGAGCCAAUCAUUCUGCGUCCAACUUUACUAAAGCGUGUUCAAGUCACCUACUCAGGCCUCUGGUUGUGGGAUUAUGUAGAGUGGAUUGGAGGUCCUUUUACACACUGCCUUUUGUUUUUUGUGUACACAGACAGAAAUCCCAUUCAUUUAUUGAUCUUGCCCUCAGGUCUGGCACAGCACUGGCCCCGGGUGGGUGGCCCUUGAGUGGUUGCGUUUCCGUCAUUUGAUGCAGGUCCUGCUUCCCUCCUUCACCGCUCGCCCCAUGAACUGGAGCUCAUCAAACAGUCUCCAUGGAACAACCUUGCUUCUGCUUCACCGUGGAGACCCUGGACGGGUUGUCCCUGGGGCAUGCACAGCUGUGGGGUGGGCAGUGCCCUUCUUUCAGAUCCACAGCUGCAUCUCCUCCUGGUCAGCGGGUGGCAGGUAGAGGUGAAGCCAGCUCCCUCCCCAGGCCCCUGCACGUGGCCUCCUGGCCUUACCCCUGCUUUCCCAGUGGACUCAUCUCCAGCGAUAGGGAUCAAAGACUCUUCUGCUUCUGAGUCUGACACACAGGGCAGGCUACAGGCCCAGCAGUGUGACUCCAUCCCAGAUGAAGGGAUGAAAAACCCACCAGGCUCCAGAGGUGUGUCUGGGACCAACUUGUGGCCAUUUUAGCCCUCACUCUGAUUGUGGAUAUGGCCACCAGCACGGGACAGAGCCAAGUCCAGUUUACCCAUCUCAAUGUCAAGGAAGAAGCUAGAGAGCUGUCAGCUGCACCACAUGGGGCAAGAGCUAGCCUUCUCCUAAUGCAGGGAGGUGACAGUCCUGUCUCCUCUCAUAACAAGGGCAGAGACGAGCAGUAAAAGACAGGUGUGCUCUCAGUCUUUGGCUUCACCAAGCUUCCUGGGAGAUGCAACUGCCAGAGAGGGAGGAGGCUCUGGAUCUUCAGGCUCCACCUUGCUCCCAGGCUGGAAGGCUGGGUGGAGAGUGAAGCCAGAGUCUCCUCGGGGGAAAAGCAGACAGCAUGGCUCCCACCUGCGCAGCUUUGAGGCCCGUUCCCACUCCUCCCACAUCGGUAGCGCAGCCUCUGAACAAUCACAUUUGUCCUCAGCCUUCUGGUUUGUUUCUCACAGGGAAGAUCCUCCUUUCAGAGGGUCAACAAGAGACCCCAACUUUCUUGCAAACCUUGGAUCUUUCCCUGCCUGGUUUCCUCUGGCCCUCCCCUAAGGUGCGGGGAGGGCCAGGUAGGGUUCUUCAGGACACGUAGAUGAGCUGACAGCAUGGAGCACUGGGAAGGGCUGGCUCUGGGCCUUCUCUCAGCUUCCCCGGCUCAGUGCGUGGUGUUCCUGAUGCUAGGUCCAGCGCUGCCACAGAUCCCAGGCCAACAUGGGCACGAAGGGGGCAGCUCAGCCCAUUCCUUAGUUUCACGACUCUGGGAGAAUCAGGACAAAAGGCCCCUAGGAUAACCAUGGGGUUCCCCAGUCGGGUCUCCGCCUUUCUGCAAAAACUGUGAACAUGAAGGUGCUGCGGAAGAAUAGUCUGCUGCUCAUUCAGAACUGAGAGGCAAGGCACAGGGACACAUGUGGCUGACGAGACAUUCUGGAAGCCGUCACCAUAGUUAUCACAACUGAGGCAAAGAGAAGAGCCACAGACAGAUACAUAGGUGGCUGCAAGAGUUGGGCCUAGGGCCUUUAACUCUCAGAACUUUCUUGAAUGCGUAUCCAGCACUCUCAGUCAUGCUGGGCAUUGCAACCACUCUGCUGCAGGCAGAACCAGCUCCCCACUCGCUGAGGUCAGGUGUGUUGGGACAGAGAAUGUCUGGGGACUAGUGCCUAUGCCUUUCAGAUGUGGCUUCUGAGCAGAGAUAAGGCCUUUUCCUGCUUCCCCUCUGCUCUCUGAAGUUCUUGGCAGAAAGACCCUGAAGAACAUAGAGAAUAUUAUUAGUGUCAGAAUAAUGCCAGUUUCAGCUAAGCUCUGUGGAGUCAGGAAUUCAACACAGAGGAUUGGCAAAGAGGGCAAGAAUAAAUAACUUCUGAGGUUCUCUGGGCCUUUUAAUUUAUGGCCUAUAAAGUUGCAUCCAUUAAAGGGCAAAAAUGCGGACAUGUAAACAUUGUGGACAAGCUCCACCAGGGCUUGGCCACCAACCAGGCGUGCUCCAUGGAGCAAGGGUCAGGUGUCUGGGCUCUCAGCUAACCUAUGUUUCACAAGACUUGGAAACAUGCUGCCAGGAAAGUACAGAUGCUGCCACUGGCCUGGGGUAUCAGGAUCCCAAGCGUGGACUCUGCAGGACAGUGAAUCAUCAGGGAUGCGUCCAGGGUCCUUGUCCCUCAUGUGAGAGUGAGAACGUGAGGCAGGUGAACUGGGUCCUCUGCUGCACCGUCUUCCUGCAUGAACAGCUCUGUCCUGUGGGGUCCCUGACACUGGAACCAGGAAGCUCUCAGAUUUGCUCUGAUGCCAACAAUUUGGCCAACACAUGCAAGAUUGAUUUAAACUUUUUAUCAUUUUUAAAGUUGCAGAACCAGAAGGUAAAAAAAGAAGGAAACCACCCCAAGUCCCACGGCCCUGACUCUGGGCCGGGUCGUCGUCGCUUCCCGGGCCAGCCCCACUCUCCUGGUGAUUCUCAGAUGCUCUGGGGCCCAGGCUCAGUCCUGGGAAGGCACCUCUCUGUCUUGCCCUUCCACGGUAACCUCAUCUGAUCUCAUGGCUCCAAGCACCCUCGGAAUGCUGAGGGCUCCUCAGCUCAGGACUUCAGCCCAGACACAUGGCCACCGGUCCAACGUGGCGUCAGCCUGCCCUCAGCCUUCAAGCAACUGCUGUCUCCCGCGCUGCAGCUAUGUCCCUUGGGAAUGUAGCACGAGUGGCCUCAGGCACAUGCAGCUAUUGGAGGGGCUCCUUUUCACUCAGCAAGGCUUCCUUGAGACUCCUCCAAGUUGCUGCACACACAGUUGUCCAUUUGUCUUCACACCAUGCACCUAUCAGCCACUGGGGGACACUGGCACUCUGUUCAACUCCUGGCGAUUACAAAUAGAGCCUCUAGGGACAUUCCUCUCAAUUCUCAUUUCUCUGGAAUAAACAUCCAGGAGUAUGACUGGGGGGUUGUAUGUUAAAUAUAUAUUUGUUGUUUUUUUUAAAUUCUGGUAGUAGAAAUUGAACCCAAGGAUAUUAACCACUGAGCACAUCCCCAGCCCUAUUUUUUUUUUUCACUUUAAGACAGGAUCUGGCUAUGUUGCCUAGGGCCUCACUAAGUUGCUGAGGCUGGCCUUGAAUUUGUCAUCCUCCUACCUCAGCCUCCUGAGUUGCUGGGGUUACAGGCUAUACCACCAUGCCUGGAUUGGCUUAAAUUUGAUUUUCUAAGGAACUGCUGACUUAUUUUCCAGACAGCGGUGCCAUCUGGUAGGCUCAAUAGCAACGAGUAGGAAGUCCAGCCUCUCUAUGGCCUUAUCAACAUCUGGUGUCACGUGCUCAAGCCAUAAUGAGUGUGAGCACCAUGUGGCACUGAGGACAGUGCUUGUGUCCUUGUCUAGUGGUGCUAAGGCCUUUCCUGUGUGUGCUACCACCUGCACGUUCGUCCUGAUGAAUUUUCCUCUCAUGAGUUUGCUCUUUUGCCAUUUAUGUUUUUUCUCUGUUUUAUUAUUGAAUUUUGAGACCUUUCAAAAUAUUCUAUAUAAGAGUCUUUUGUCAGAUGCAGUUAGCAAAUAGUUUGUGUGCCGUUUGUCUUUUCAUACUUUUUAUAGGGCCAUUUGCAGAACAAAAAUUAAAAAACCCAUUUAAUUGUGUUUGUUCCAACGUUUAUCAAUUGAGUUACCAAAAUUCUCUCUCUUUUUGUCCUUAAUUGGUAUCUGACAGAUCACAGUGUCAUGAAGAACAGAGACUUAGAAUGUCAGCCAACAUGAGGCGCUCCUGUCCGUGGACCCAAUCUCCCGGGUUCCCCCUUCUACUCAGUGUCGGGAACUCAUCUGUACAAAUCCACGGCAGCAAAGCCGAGAGAGGUGCAUGCUGGCAUUUUGAUGAGCUUUUGGAGACAGACUCUAACAAACAGGUGAUUUGAAGGGUGGGCACUUGAGUCUGCUGGGAGCUGCUUGGGGAAAGCCUUGCGCUGCUAACAAGCGCCAGCCAUAGGUUCUAGUCCUGGACUCACUUCUAGCUGCUCCCGUGAGCUGGAAGGAGCCACUGCUCCCUGGCCUGUGCAUCUCCAUCUGCAGUCACAUGGGCACCAGAGCACACUGGACACUCUACCAUGUCACCCGAGGCUCCUGAAGACGGGGUCUCCUCCCCUGAGAGCCAUGUGACACCCAAGAAGAGGGAUGGUGGAGGAUUAGGUCAGUUUGAGUGACCCCAAAGGCCCUCUGCAAUGGCAACAUUUUGUAUAUCUUCCUAAUGACGGCAGAAGCUGCCUUCUGACCCUGCUCACAUCAAAGUGCUACAGCAGAUUCUUCCUCCCAGGUCCACAUCAGAGGGCCACAGUGUCCACAUCACUGACGUGGCGUCCACAUUGGAGCAUCAUGCUGCCUAGGUCAGAGCGCCUUGGCAUACAUGUGCUGGCUCUGUCUUCUUCAGCCUUUCUAACCUAAGUCCACGCUGAUCAUGAGUGGAGUAGGAGAGAAGAGUAGUGCUUUCCCACAGACACAUGAGGCCCCCAGUGGAGAGAAGCAGGAAGACACGGAGAGCAGGCUGGAGAGGACAAAUCAGCCAGCAGGCUGACAUACGUCCCCCCAUGAGGAGCAGCCACAGGACUGGCUGGUGACGAACUGCAGCAGCAGCCUUGCUCCAGAGGGACUUCACACUAAAAAGAGCAUCUCACAGGCAGCUCAGCAAUCAGAUUAGAAGUCCUGUCCUCCCAACCAGGAAGCAAGGAAUGCUGUAGAUAUGUAUGGGGAGGAGAAGAAGGAUACAAGUGGUCCUCAGCUGGACAUGCACAAGCCCCGCCACUGGGAGACAGAGGCAGAGAUGCCAGGGCCUCUCUCCAGACGAUGGGUGAAGAGGGAAGAGCACCUGCAGGCCCAGGGACGCUGGAAAGCUGCAUGGCACCUGGACCAAGUGUUCUGCAAUCUCUUUGGGGAAGAAUUUGAAAGACAUGCUAUUUCCAGUACCUUUCUCCGUUUUCUGUGCCCAUUUUUUCUCAUUUUCCUGUUUACCGGCACAUAUCUUUGUGACCUUUCACUCCAUACUAAGCAUUGCCACCAACUUGAGGAUGCCAGGAUUUUUAAGAUGGUCUCUUCCCCAGGAGUGAGCAUUCUGCUCCAGCCCAGGCAGUCAGAACAACUGUAGCAGCUACAGGUGGGCAAGAGGUGACUUCAAACAAGGCACCAGAGGUGACUAGAGGCACAAAGGAGGGAUGCUCACCCUGCCUGGUGGAAUCUGCAGUUGCGAAGCUGGGGGGCUGAGCCUGAGGACCCUUUGAGGGCCAACUUGGUGGCACCUUUCUCUGGGAGGAAAAGGGCCCGCGAGGGCAGGAGGCCCAAAGUCUUGGACUCCAGCCAACCGCCAGAAGGCAAACCGUCCCCUCCGCUUCAGCGCUCCUGCUUUCCACACAUUCAUAAUCAGUCUUGUUUUAGGUUUUGGUGGUUUGUUGGGGUUUCUACUUUGCUUCUUACCAAAGGGAGUUACUUGGAGCAGCACCAGCCGUGUCUCACAGGACCUCACUGGUACACGGCCAGAAAGGAAGCAAGGUCCAGAGGGCAGCACCCACGGCCCGCGCAGCUGGGACUGGCCUCUGCCCAGCCUUGCUUUCUCUGCUUCUCCCGGGUGUUUGGCCUUUUUCAGGUCAGCCUUACACCCUCCCUGGGGUGCUAGAUCAUACUUUUAUAUCCUGUCUGAUUUUCCCAUGAAGAGUCUGUUGUUUCCCCUUUCAGAUGUGACCUGAAGGCCAUAGGCUGGCCUGGACUGAUCCCCAGAGCACCCCAGGGGACGGUGCUCCCCAGGAAGAGCCCUGGCUGGGCUGCUGGCCUGAGCCCAUCCCCACCAGGCCCUGGGCCGGGUGGGAUGCACAGGUGUCCACUGCAUGGAGAAGAGGGAGGCCUGCAGCCUUUGCAGUCUAACUCAUAAAACAUUGCUAGUUUUGAAUAUUGUUGGAGGAGAAACCCAACUAGUUUCUCAGAGCACCUCUCUCGGAAAACCUCCGCUUCAGGAAGAUUGCAUUUCAUAUGGUCUCUACAAAACGACUUAUCAGCAAAGACCCUUUUCAGAAGUUGGUUGUGGGAGGGUAAGAGACAGAUGUGAGCCUGGGUAUGUAGAUGGCUCAGAGGGCAAAGCCCCUCCCCCCUUGCAUCUGCGUCUUUCUGCAGUGACUUACUCAGGCCCCAAGACGAGGUUGAUAGCACAGAGGCCCUCAGCUGCCGGGACCUUGCUCUCUCCCCAGGGCUCCUUCUUCCUGACCUUGUAAGUCUCUCUAUUAGAGCUGUUCACCUUGAGUCACUUAACCAAGAUUCAUGGCCUUUCCUUCAGAGGAGAAUAUGAAGACGUCUACGUGGGCAUACGUAAAGUCAGCAGGAGCUUAGGUGCCAGGUUUCUGUUCUGGCGACUAAAAGGCUCAGGGGUCACUCCAGGUAAACUGUGGUAACUGGGCUGCACAAAAUAAUCACACAAGAGACACAAGUACCUUUUUCUUGUGUUCGCUGUGGCGGCUCCUCUGACCUUAGGGGUCCACAGGAAGAGAGAGAGAGACAGAGAGAGAGAGAGAGCGAGAGCACGCGCUGACCCCUUUUAUUGAGGAAAAGCUACUCAAAUGAGGCCAGGGGUCAGGUUUCAGGGGGCUGAGUAUCUUCAUGAUGUCCACUGUCAGCAGGUUGACUGACACCUGGGUAGGCCACACCCAAGGGCACAAUAAGAGAAGGGGACACACACAAGGCACUUCCAUGGAAGAUUCUAUCCUAACCAGGGCAAGGGGUUAUAUUACAGAGGAACAGGUGAGCGUAGCUCCACCCACGGGGCUGUAGGAAGCCAUGCCUAGGCAUGAAGACACAGUCACUGGAACCCUAGAAGAGUGGGGCAGUCUAGCAGCCUGGGUGCCUGACGCCACAUCGCCCAGCAGGGGAGUUAACUCAGUCAUGUGCGAGGCUGGUCUCCCACACCCAGGUGUCCACAGCUAGUAGACAAUGACAGUGGUUUGUCUCUUCAUUUGCGGAACUGAAUAUCUCAACUCCCAGUUGACGUCAGGCGCUGUAGAAAAGAUGACCCAGGACAGGCCAGACCUCUAGGAGCUGUCAG